GGGAAGGGGGGUGGCCUACACAUGCAAGUCGAACGGCAGCACAGGAGAGCUUGCUCUCUGGGUGGCGAGUGGCGGACGGGUGAGGAAUACAUCGGAAUCUACUCUGUCGUGGGGGAUAACGUAGGGAAACUUACGCUAAUACCGCAUACGACCUACGGGUGAAAGCAGGGGACCUUCGGGCCUUGCGCGAUUGAAUGAGCCGAUGUCGGAUUAGCUAGUUGGCGGGGUAAAGGCCCACCAAGGCGACGAUCCGUAGCUGGUCUGAGAGGAUGAUCAGCCACACUGGAACUGAGACACGGUCCAGACUCCUACGGGAGGCAGCAGUGGGGAAUAUUGGACAAUGGGCGCAAGCCUGAUCCAGCCAUACCGCGUGGGUGAAGAAGGCCUUCGGGUUGUAAAGCCCUUUUGUUGGGAAAGAAAUCCAGCUGGCUAAUACCCGGUUGGGAUGACGGUACCCAAAGAAUAAGCACCGGCUAACUUCGUGCCAGCAGCCGCGGUAAUACGAAGGGUGCAAGCGUUACUCGGAAUUACUGGGCGUAAAGCGUGCGUAGGUGGUCGUUUAAGUCCGUUGUGAAAGCCCUGGGCUCAACCUGGGAACUGCAGUGGAUACUGGGCGACUAGAAUGUGGUAGAGGGUA
RNAcentral lists this ribosomal RNA (637 nucleotides) under Stenotrophomonas sp. JDM309. Its description in RNAcentral is "bacterial SSU rRNA". It matches the Rfam family "Bacterial small subunit ribosomal RNA", at positions 29 to 660 of the family's 1533-position model. Lineage: Bacteria; Pseudomonadati; Pseudomonadota; Gammaproteobacteria; Lysobacterales; Lysobacteraceae. The record is from RNAcentral.